CACAAAUGUCAUCUUACAGAAUAAAUCACGAAUAAGUUUACAACAGAUCAACUAAAUUCCCACCUGAUCAAUCGUACGUCAUGACGCAGGAAACGCUCAGGAUAUCCGGAAGUUUCCGCCUCCCCGAGAAGCAGCCUUGCAGACCUGUGAUCUGGAUAUAGAGCAGGUAGCUCACCUCUCUGUUAAUUGAGUUCACAGCUGGUAGCUUUGCCUCAGCAGACUUCUCACCCAGAAGGGUACAAAGGACAUCCUCUUCCCCGGCAGGUCUCCUCAUUUCAGUCUACCCGUUCAUAAGAGCAUGGUUCAACUUCCAUCACAUACUGCCCAAUAUAGGCAACUUCAGAGUGCACCCCAUGGCUACAAAUUCAAAUCCAGCCGCU
RNAcentral lists this long non-coding RNA (380 nucleotides) under Sinocyclocheilus anshuiensis. RNAcentral describes it as "lncRNA (ENSSANG00000010911.1)". The record is from RNAcentral. Lineage: Eukaryota; Metazoa; Chordata; Actinopteri; Cypriniformes; Cyprinidae.